CCAGUGAGCUGCUGGAAGGACUCAGUGUCUGGUGUUCACAAGGCCCAGCACAUGGUCUGGGACGUGAGCUCCACACGCCGCCCUGAGGCACCUCCCUCCUUGGUCUCCUCAGUUCAGUGUCUCCGCCGGGAAACCACCGCGAGGGCCUGCAGGAAAACACAGCAGACUAGAAAGUCCAGUUUGAGAUUUCAAAUGUGCUACCGCCUCUGCAGCAGGAGUGAAGCUGGACCUCCAGGCUCUGAGAACACUGAGGACCGUGGGGCUGAGUGACACCAGCCGGCAGGAGAGGCCAUGGCGGGAAGCAGAGGCCCCGGCUGGACUCCAGGGAGCACCAGCGACUGAGGGGCCACAGAGCGGGUGCGGCGGGGGCGAGGGCUGCCUGCCCGCACUCUCAUUACAGCAGAGGCAGUGACAUUUCCCUUGCUGUGCCCAGGGCAGGGAUGGGCCCACGGCAGGUGCUGUGAGCAUGUGCUUGUUGGGUUCCUGAAGCAGAGUCCAGCCAGCCCAGAGGGCCACAUUCUUGUCACUGCCCCGUGGAGCCGCAGCUCAAGCCAAGUCCCGCACACCCCUCUCUGGGCUCUAACUGUGCUGCCUCCGAUGUUCAGGGUACUUUACUUCAAACCAUAUCAAAAGCUGGUUUGAAAAACAAGUCCUAUAGAGGUGC
Molecule: non-coding RNA, 664 nt
Organism: Chlorocebus sabaeus (green monkey)
Lineage: Eukaryota; Metazoa; Chordata; Mammalia; Primates; Cercopithecidae
Source: RefSeq, a predicted model, not a curated record